RNAcentral lists this ribosomal RNA (90 nucleotides) under Ailuropoda melanoleuca (giant panda). The record is from RNAcentral. Lineage: Eukaryota; Metazoa; Chordata; Mammalia; Carnivora; Ursidae.
GUCUAUGGCCAUACCACCCUGAAUGCGCCCUAUCUCAACUGAUCUUGGAAGCUAAGCAGGGUUGGGUCUGGUUAGUACUUGGAUGGGAGA